This 433-nucleotide ribosomal RNA is filed under the name uncultured bacterium. RNAcentral describes it as "partial 16S ribosomal RNA". It matches the Rfam family "Bacterial small subunit ribosomal RNA", at positions 29 to 507 of the family's 1533-position model. The record is from RNAcentral.
AACGAACGCUGGCGGCAUGCCUAACACAUGCAAGUCGAACGAUCCCUUCGGGGUUAGUGGCGCACGGGUGCGUAACGCGUGGGAACCUGCCCUUAGGUUCGGAAUAACUCAGAGAAAUUUGAGCUAAUACCGGAUAAUGUCUUCGGACCAAAGAUUUAUCGCCUUUGGAUGGGCCCGCGUUGGAUUAGCUAGUUGGUGGGGUAAAGGCCUACCAAGGCGACGAUCCAUAGCUGGUCUGAGAGGAUGAUCAGCCACACUGGGACUGAGGCACGGCCCAGACUCCUACGGGAGGCAGCAGUGGGGAAUAUUGGACAAUGGGCGAAAGCCUGAUCCAGCAAUGCCGCGUGAGUGAUGAAGGCCUUAGGGUUGUAAAGCUCUUUUACCCGGGAUGAUAAUGACAGUACCGGGAGAAUAAGCCCCGGCUAACUCCGUG